GGUGGUUGUAGCUCAGUUGGUUAGAGCGCUAGAUUGUGGUUCUAGAGGUCGCCGGUUCGAGACCGGUCUUCCACCCCCA
This 79-nucleotide transfer RNA is filed under the name Cyclobacteriaceae bacterium. RNAcentral's name for it is "tRNA-His". It matches the Rfam family "tRNA". From Rfam's summary of the family: Transfer RNA (tRNA) molecules are approximately 80 nucleotides in length. Their secondary structure includes four short double-helical elements and three loops (D, anti-codon, and T loops). Lineage: Bacteria; Pseudomonadati; Bacteroidota; Cytophagia; Cytophagales; Cyclobacteriaceae. The record is from RNAcentral.